RNAcentral lists this ribosomal RNA (301 nucleotides) under uncultured bacterium. RNAcentral describes it as "partial 16S ribosomal RNA". It matches the Rfam family "Bacterial small subunit ribosomal RNA", at positions 509 to 807 of the family's 1533-position model. The record is from RNAcentral.
CAGUAGCCGCGGUAAUACGGAGGAUCCAAGCGUUAUCCGGAAUCAUUGGGUUUAAAGGGUCCGUAGGCGGUCUUGUAAGUCAGUGGUGAAAGCCCAUCGCUCAACGGUGGAACGGCCAUUGAUACUGCAGGACUUGAAUUAUUGGGAAGUAACUAGAAUAUGUAGUGUAGCGGUGAAAUGCUUAGAGAUUACAUGGAAUACCAAUUGCGAAGGCAGGUUACUACCAAUUGAUUGACGCUGAUGGACGAAAGCGUGGGUAGCGAACAGGAUUAGAGACCCCUGUAGUCCCUGUCUCUUAUAC